UCCCAGGCCUUUCUCAAGGCUACCCAUGUUCAGAAGGAAGCUUCCU
Dufourea novaeangliae is the source of this 46-nucleotide non-coding RNA. The record is from Rfam. NCBI's taxonomy places the organism in Eukaryota, Metazoa, Arthropoda, Insecta, Hymenoptera, Halictidae.